UGCCCCUUCCCCGCCCAUCACCCCCGCCGCCGCGGGAGCACGGGAGGCGGGUCUGCUGGGGCGAGGCUGCUCUGCAGUGUCCCUGGGGGAAGACCAGGCGCUGCCGAAGCCCCCCACCCCCACCCCUGCGGGAUAGCAGCCGGGGGCUCGGGGAGGACGCCAGGGGGCGGGGCCGAGGCUGCGGCCUGGAGCGGGAGCGUGCGUCUGUCUGCUCCGGACGCAGUGCGCAUGCGUCCAAGUCCUCGGGCCCGUCGCUUGGGCUGACGCUGCUCGGACCUAACCCGGCGGACUUGGGCGGGGCCUCUGCGGCCGGAGGGCAGGUAGUGCUGAUGGAGGUGGCUCAGUCGAGGCCUUCUUACUACCCCGCUCCUCAGCUGAGUUCCUGAGUAGCAAGGCCAGAAGAAAGUUGUUUAAUUUCAUCCAUCACUCUUUUUCACUGCAUCUCUGAAUGAGGUGAUCCCAUAGAAGUUGUCUGAGGACUAUUAUCAACUUCAGUUAUGAGUCGCUAAGUGAACUUCUGCUCACCACAGGAAGAAACAUCUCUUGAUAAGGCCUCUCUGCCUUUGGCAAGCUUGUCAUUACACCUGCCAGGGUGAGACCUUAUGCCCAGGACCAACACAGUAGGAGUCAUAAUUGCCUUGGUUUUCCCAGUGGCUGUCCAGAAACCGUAACAGAGUAUGAAAGUACCUGUGGAUUAACACUCCAUGAAGAGACAGUGCUGUGUGGGACCUCUGAGGAUGUCUAAUAUUGCCAUGGACCAACGAUGCUGUUUAUGAAGCCACAGAGAACUUGGCAAUGAAUUUCUUUCUGCUUCAACUUUGUUUCCUCUUGAGUUGCUGUCAUAAGAUUGUACCCUCAUAAUGCAUUACCAUAUCAACUGCCUUUCUCAGUUUCCAGGCAAAAGCACUUUUCUAUGGAAACGUAGCAGUUACUUCCCCAGCCAAAUAAUUACCUUUACACAUUCCCCCAUGGAAGACCCUAAUUUAUGAGCACCACCACCACCAUCACUGCAUGAUGCCUACGAUGUAUUAUUGGGAAAAACUGUUAAACCCAAAUCUAAUUUCCAGACUUCAUUUGCAGGGAGAUACAUACUUAAACAUAGAUAGCACCAGGAACCAACUAGAUAAACCAAGAAUAUGCAGCCUUCUUUAAGUUAGCUGUCCAGAUUUUUUAAAAGUCAAUUCUAUAGGUCAAAACCAAAUAGAAGGAAAAGUGGGAGAGAUUCUCCAGGUUAACCUCCAGGUGGGUGGGACCCUCAAACCUUUGUUGUAUCAUGGAAGAAAGUUCCAUUAAAAAAAAAAAAACUUUACAGGACAAUUAAGAAAUUUAACAAGUGACUUGGGGAGGGACAGUGAGAUGACUCAGGAGGCGGGGGAGCUUGUACCCACCUGAUGACCUGAGCUUGAUCCCCAGAACCCACAUAGUGGAAGGUGAAAGCUGAUCCUGCAAGUUGUCCUCUGACCACCACACGUGUGCUGUAGCAGACAAGUGCCCAUGCACAUACACAGACAAACUUUUAAAUGGCUUGAGUAUUAGUUGUGAUUAUUAAUAGAAUAGUUGCUGUUUCUUA
This is a long non-coding RNA of Nannospalax galili (Upper Galilee mountains blind mole rat), 1570 nucleotides long. RefSeq lists it as uncharacterized. The transcript has 4 exons. NCBI's taxonomy places the organism in Eukaryota, Metazoa, Chordata, Mammalia, Rodentia, Spalacidae. The record is from RefSeq and is a predicted model, not a curated record.